AUUGAACGCUGGCGGAAUGCUUUACACAUGCAAGUCGAACGGCAGCACGGGGGCAACCCUGGUGGCGAGUGGCGAACGGGUGAGUAACACAUCGGAACGUGCCCAGUCGUGGGGGAUAACGUAGCGAAAGCUACGCUAAUACCGCAUACGAACUCUGGUUGAAAGCGGGGGACUCGCAAGGGCCUCGCGCGAUUGGAGCGGCCGAUGGCAGAUUAGGUAGUUGGUGGGGUAAAGGCCUACCAAGCCGACGAUCUGUAGCUGGUCUGAGAGGACGACCAGCCACACUGGGACUGAGACACGGCCCAGACUCCUACGGGAGGCAGCAGUGGGGAAUUUUGGACAAUGGGCGCAAGCCUGAUCCAGCCAUUCCGCGUGCAGGAUGAAGGCCCUCGGGUUGUAAACUGCUUUUGUACGGAACGAAAGGCCUCUUCUAAUACAGGGGGCUCAUGACGGUACCGUAAGAAUAAGCACCGGCUAACUACGUGCCAGCCGCCGCGGUAAC
RNAcentral lists this ribosomal RNA (502 nucleotides) under uncultured bacterium. RNAcentral's name for it is "bacterial SSU rRNA". It matches the Rfam family "Bacterial small subunit ribosomal RNA", at positions 29 to 524 of the family's 1533-position model. The record is from RNAcentral.